GGUCAGGAGGCUCUAAAACCUGAACUGGCCCUUAAGGUCGGUGCUUAGAGACGCAAACGCCCUUUUCUCCUUCCCACGAGCCGGUGGAGACUGCGAGGCGCCGAGAACCCGCCACCAGCCCAGGAGUUUACAUAUUUAUACAAAAAUGCGCACCCCUCACCCUCACUGCUUCCAACUCCUGCGGCCUCCUGUCCCUCCACACGUGUCCCUGUUCUCCCUGUAGCCCUCACCGGCUGGGGUCCAAUCAAAGGACGAAGUGGGGGUUGGGAGCUUGGUCUCCAACGUUAGAACCCAUCCAAAGGCUGUAGUUCCCUCCCUAGAGUGGGGGUAGGGAGGGUGUCAGACCUUAGUUUGGAGUCGGCGUCAGUGCCUGUGGGCCCUGGCGCAGCGGGGCUGUGAGGGGAGAGUCCCUCAGACAGGUCUAAAGGUUAAUAGAGCAAUCACAGGGCCCUAUUACCGCGUAAAAAUAACCCAUCGAUUACCGCAGCCUUCAGCUGCAGAUAACAGCUCUCUGGUGGCUCUCGCGUUUUCGGCUUAAGUUUUUUUUUUUUUCCUUUUCUUUUAAGGCCGCGUUUCUCUCCCCAGCACAGGUUUCCCAUACAAGAUUAGAGGGGUCAGGAGGGGGCUGGAAUACCACCCGGUAAGAACCCCGCGCUGCCUGAGAAGGCUCAGGCUGGCACCCGCUGUCGCAGUUCUAGGACUGACAACAGAUAGCAAUUGCCCCGCAUGCAAAAGCAACUCAGGCUCUAGGCACAGGCUGGGACUGGGAUGUGGAGCGGAUUGAAAGGGAAAACCCGUGGGACUUUGGCCAACGCGUGGGGAUCUCAGGAAAAUCCCAGAGGAAGGACUGAGCACGGAUGCGCUGAGUGGAGGUGGGGGAAAUUCUCUUUUCCAAAUCAAAGGGGCCUGAGGUCCAGAGAGGCUCUAGAGAAGGAGAGAAAACCGAGGCCGUCAGGGGUGCAGAGCUGCUGAAGGCCGGCGCUCUGGCUUGACCUACUGACGUAGCCCCGGGUGCCGCCAGUUUGAGCCCUUUAGCGCCCUGGAAGCUGGGGCCCCAAGACUAGAGUUCCUUCUCUAGGCCCCCACUCAUCCUAAACAGUUCCUGGUCAGAAUCAGGGGCUGCAGGUUCGAGGUCUGGUAAAGGUUUAGGGACGUUAUUCUGGGGGCUCCAGAGGCAUCAACGAACCCUCCUUUCCACCUCUCCUCGAGCAAACUCCUUUCUGAGACUCUCGGAUGAAUGCAGAGAAUGGCGUGGCCCUUGCUUUAUUUUACAAGACACCCUCAGCUACCUGGAAGGAUCCUGAGACUAAAGCCUAUCCCCAAGAUAGCAGAAACGAAACUGUAGGCUGAACACGACGUACAUAGGAAUUGGGACUUGAAGGAAUUGGGACCUGAAUUUCCUCGAAGGAAAAACAAAACAAACAACAGAUGUUGGAUUUCACACAGAGACCAAGAGAGAUCUUCCCUCCACCCCCAAGGAAUUGGGCACCAGCAAGUGCCCUCUGGGACCCAUGUGAUUCGGUUUAAAUGGUGAUCAACAUUGGUCACCACUGUGUCAUCGGUUGCCUCUCCGAAUUCAGCGGGAAUCAAUUCACAAGCAAAGCAGUGAGAGAGAAAUGAGGUCUGGAAAGAAUCUGGAGCUUGGACAGUUUCCAGUGUACGAUAAGGGAGACAAGAAAACACUACGAAGUCCACCUUGGUCCUAUCGAAAGUACACCCCAGGUACAGCUGUGCCGAUAGAACUACAAAGGAUCUGAGCUAGAUGUGUAAAGUGACCCGCACUGAACGAAUUUGGUCCCCUCUCCUAACAACGGAGCCUGACACCACAGACACCACGUUCCUUUCCUCAGUGACUAUCAACCCUCAUCUCGAGAUCACCCUGAUCAAAGCAAAAACAUUGGAAGAGAACACCUGGACGCACCUCAUCUUAUUCAAGAAAAAAUAAAGAAGCAAAGAACCUGUACGGCCAAGUCUGGGUACCCAACCCCUAUGCACUCUUCCCCCAGCCCUGAACCUUCAGCUCCUGGGAUUCCAGGCUGAAGAGGCACGGUUUUGAAUUCUUUGUAGACACCCUAGAUCUAGCCUGGUACCUGGAGUCAGAUCUUGAGGUUUCACUAUAAAAGGAAGUAGCCCUUUCUAGUUGUUUGGCGUUUAAAGAAUUGUUUGAUGUUGCAAAAAAGAAUAGCUGCAAAAAUGAAGCUGUGCUUUCCUCACAGACCUGGGAAAAUGCUUCCCAGUAUUUCCAGUCAGUAGACCAGUUGGUGGCAUAUUUCACAGUCACUUCUAAGUUACAGGUCACUCUCCUAUUUUUUUUUUUAAAUAAAACUUGCCAAAUUCCUAGAAGCCCCAAAA
This 2352-nucleotide small RNA is filed under the name Rattus norvegicus (Norway rat). RNAcentral describes it as "uncharacterized LOC102548615". Lineage: Eukaryota; Metazoa; Chordata; Mammalia; Rodentia; Muridae. The record is from RNAcentral.